This 65-nucleotide transfer RNA is filed under the name Xenoturbella japonica. RNAcentral describes it as "tRNA-Leu". The record is from RNAcentral. Lineage: Eukaryota; Metazoa; Xenacoelomorpha; Xenoturbellidae.
UUUAUAAUAGUAUAGAACCAUACACUAGAUUUAGGAUCUAGAAACGAGGAAAACCUCUUAUAAAA